Molecule: ribosomal RNA, 255 nt
Filed under: uncultured bacterium
Lineage: Bacteria
Description: partial 16S ribosomal RNA
Rfam family: Bacterial small subunit ribosomal RNA
Source: RNAcentral
UACGUAGGGGGCAAGCGUUGUCCGGAAUCAUUGGGCGUAAAGCGCGUGUAGGCGGCUAGAUAAGUCUGCUCUGAAAGCCCGGGGCUCAACCCCGGGAGGCGGGUGGAUACUGUCUAGCUCGAGUCCGGAAGAGGAGUGUGGAAUUCCUGGUGUAGCGGUGAAAUGCGCAGAUAUCAGGAGGAACACCAAUGGCGAAGGCAGCACUCUGGGACGUGACUGACGCUGAGACGCGAAAAGCGUGGGGGAGCAAACAGG